This 333-nucleotide ribosomal RNA is filed under the name Triticum aestivum (bread wheat). RNAcentral's name for it is "partial small subunit ribosomal RNA". Lineage: Eukaryota; Viridiplantae; Streptophyta; Magnoliopsida; Poales; Poaceae. The record is from RNAcentral.
AUGGCUGGCGAGGACAUCGACCCCAAGUCCAGUACUGCUGCUGCUGCUGUCACGUAUGUGUUCUUCUUCUUUCUGUUAGAUGUCCUGCCACAGUUUCUCGUACUAGUACUUGCCCUAGAUGUGUUAGGUUCUACUCCAUACAUGCAACUAGCUCCACAGUCUGCUCUAGAUAUGUUAGGCUACAGUUCAUAUAUGCAGAUGUUAUUUACCUUCUGUCUGUCAGAAUGCAUGACUUGUUUUAUCUCUACUAUAUUAGUCACGCUUUACCUAGUAUUUCUGUUAAUAAAAUCAUUUGAUAAAUUGCUCAUAUUUCCAACAGUAUUGACUGCCUGA